AACCAGCAUGGCCAAGGGUCAUGGUGGUGGUCAUGGUCAUGGUCAUGGAGGUGGUCAUGGAGGUGGAAAGGGUCAUGGCGGCAAAGGUCAUGGUGGUGGCCAUGGGGGCAAGGGACACGGAGGCCAUGGUGGCGGACACGGGGGCAAAGGACAUGGAGGCGGCCAUGGAGGAAAGGGGCACCAUGGAUAAACAUAGCAGCUGAAAGAUGUGUCACGAGAAAGCCCUUGUUUUUUAUUCCACUGCUGCUGGACAACAGGGAAACCACAACUCAUGUAAAACAUGAUGAUCUUGUAUUUUGUUUGACCAGACCUCUGAAUAAAAAUACACUCCAAAGUGUUAAAUCUGAUUACA
RNAcentral lists this long non-coding RNA (352 nucleotides) under Haliotis rufescens (red abalone). RNAcentral describes it as "uncharacterized LOC125371985". The record is from RNAcentral. Lineage: Eukaryota; Metazoa; Mollusca; Gastropoda; Lepetellida; Haliotidae.